RNAcentral lists this transfer RNA (72 nucleotides) under Marmota monax (woodchuck). RNAcentral's name for it is "tRNA.Val". The record is from RNAcentral. Lineage: Eukaryota; Metazoa; Chordata; Mammalia; Rodentia; Sciuridae.
GUAGUUGCGGCUCAGUGAUAAGAGUGCUUGCCUAACAUGUGUGAGGUACUGGGUUCGAUCCUCAGCAUCACA